This 276-nucleotide long non-coding RNA is filed under the name Ursus americanus (American black bear). Its description in RNAcentral is "lncRNA (ENSUAMG00000005879.1)". The record is from RNAcentral. Lineage: Eukaryota; Metazoa; Chordata; Mammalia; Carnivora; Ursidae.
AAGUUCCCCUAUUUUUUCCCCCUAGAUCAACUCUACAUUAUUGCUAUUAUCAAACCCGAUGCUGUGAUUAGCAGAAAAUCUCAAGAGAUUAGACAAAAUAUUAUGAAGGCAGGCUUUGUCAUAGAGAUCGAGGAGAAGAGAGCGCUCACUGAACGACAAGUCAGGGACUUCUAUUAUCGGAUAGCAGACCAGCCUGACUUUGAAGAUUUUGUCCUUUUUAUGACGGUGGCCUGAGCCAUGUUCUAGUCCUAUCUCAGGGAACUGAGGAAGAGCCUG